Cyprinus carpio carpio is the source of this 658-nucleotide long non-coding RNA. The record is from Ensembl. Lineage: Eukaryota; Metazoa; Chordata; Actinopteri; Cypriniformes; Cyprinidae.
UAGAAUCUGUGGUCGGGUCUAAACAGGCAGUGAUAUAGAAUCUGUGGUCGGGGCUAAACAGGCAGUGAUAUAGAAUCUGUGGUUGGGUCUAAAGAGGCAGUGAUAUAGAAUCGAUGGUCGGGGCUAAACAGGCAGUGAUAUAGAAUCUGUGGUCGGGUCUAAACAGGCAGUGAUAUAGAAUCUGUGGUUGGGUCUAAAGAGGCAGUGAUAUAGAAUCGAUGGGCGAGGCUAAACAGGCAGUGAUAUAGAAUCUGUGGUCGGGGCUAAAUAGGUGUAACCCCUCUCUCCCGGGUCCACACCGCCACACCUCGUACUUGCUCCGAGUGGGCCUUGAACCCGGGUCUCCGGCAUGGGAGACGGAUUCACUAACAAGGAGGCUAAAUGACUGCAGCCACCAGCGUCAGUCGCUAGUGUGUCUCUCGAGAUCAGGGGAGUGAGGUUUACCUGCACAGCACCUACUCGCUGGCCUCUGUUACACUCACCCCCCUAAACCUCACUCCCAUCCGGGUCACGGCACCAAUGUAACCCCUCUUUCCCGGGUCCACACCGCCACACCCGAUUCUAUAGAAUCUGUGGUCGGGGCAAAAGAGGCAGUGAUACAGAAUCUGUGGUCGGGGCAAAACAGGCAGUGAUUUAGAAUCUGUGGUCGGGGCUAAAG